CCUACGGGUGGCAGCAGUGGAGAAUAUUGGACAAUGGGCGAAAGCCUGAUCCAGCCAUGCCGCGUGUGUGAAGAAGGCCUUCGGGUUGUAAAGCACUUUCAGUGGGGAAGAAAGCCUUGGGGCUAAUACCCUCGAGGAAGGACAUCACCCACAGAAGAAGCACCGGCUAACUCCGUGCCAGCAGCCGCGGUAAUACGGAGGGUGCGAGCGUUAAUCGGAAUUACUGGGCGUAAAGCGCGCGUAGGCGGUCUGAUAAGCCGGUUGUGAAAGCCCCGGGCUCAACCUGGGAACGGCAUCCGGAACUGUCAGGCUAGAGUGCAGGAGAGGAAGGUAGAAUUCCCGGUGUAGCGGUGAAAUGCGUAGAGAUCGGGAGGAAUACCAGUGGCGAAGGCGGCCUUCUGGACUGACACUGACGCUGAGGUGCGAAAGCGUGGGUAGCAAACAGGAUUAGAUACCCCUGUAGUC
Molecule: ribosomal RNA, 465 nt
Filed under: Vreelandella stevensii
Lineage: Bacteria; Pseudomonadati; Pseudomonadota; Gammaproteobacteria; Oceanospirillales; Halomonadaceae
Description: partial 16S ribosomal RNA
Rfam family: Bacterial small subunit ribosomal RNA
Source: RNAcentral